UACGGGUUGCUCCAGUGGGGAAUAUUGCGCAAUGGGGGAAACCCUGACGCAGCGACGCCGCGUGUAGGAAGAAGGCCUUCGGGUCGUAAACUACUGUCAGGAGGGAAGAAACUGUUUGGGUAUAAUACGCCCAUUCACUGACGGUACCUCCAGAGGAAGCACCGGCUAACUCCGUGCCAGCAGCCGCGGUAAUACGGAGGGUGCGAGCGUUAAUCGGAAUCACUGGGCGUAAAGCGUGCGUAGGCUGCGCUGCAAGUCAGACGUGAAAGCCCUCGGCUCAACCGAGGAAUUGCGUUUGAAACUGCAGUGCUAGAGUCUCGGAGAGGUUGGCGGAAUUCCAGGUGUAGGAGUGAAAUCCGUAGAUAUCUGGAGGAACACCGGUGGCGAAGGCGGCCAACUGGACGAGUACUGACGCUGAGGUACGAAAGCGUGGGGAGCAAACAGGAUUAGAUACCCCGGUAGUC
This 464-nucleotide ribosomal RNA is filed under the name uncultured bacterium. RNAcentral describes it as "partial 16S ribosomal RNA". It matches the Rfam family "Bacterial small subunit ribosomal RNA", at positions 340 to 795 of the family's 1533-position model. The record is from RNAcentral.